This is a long non-coding RNA of Gracilinanus agilis (Agile Gracile Mouse Opossum), 297 nucleotides long. RefSeq lists it as uncharacterized. NCBI's taxonomy places the organism in Eukaryota, Metazoa, Chordata, Mammalia, Didelphimorphia, Didelphidae. The record is from RefSeq and is a predicted model, not a curated record. The transcript has 3 exons.
GAUGCCCUUCGAGUGCUGGAGAUUAGAGGGUUGGAGGGAGGCAAGGGAAACUCCAGUAACUGGGAUCAUUCAAGGACCAAGGAUGAGGAAGUUGCUGAAUGGUGGGCUCCCCAAAAAGACCUGACCUUUGAUGUACUGCUGUGUGUGGCUGUCCUGGUGCAAAAUCGAGAUCAGCUCCUCUCAUUCCAUCAUGCCAAUGACUUCUUCCUCUUCUCCCAGAGGCUCCAGGGAAAGCUGAAACUGAACACUCUCCGGGGAGAAGAAAAGGAGCUGCCCCACCCUAAGCAUCUUCCCUGG